This 283-nucleotide unclassified non-coding RNA is filed under the name Ascomycota sp. RNAcentral's name for it is "partial contains small subunit ribosomal RNA, internal transcribed spacer 1, and 5.8S ribosomal RNA". The stretch from base 1 to 47 matches the Rfam family "Eukaryotic small subunit ribosomal RNA", at positions 1785 to 1831 of the family's 1831-position model. The record is from RNAcentral. Lineage: Eukaryota; Fungi; Ascomycota.
AAAGUCGUAACAAGGUUUCCGUAGGUGAACCUGCGGAAGGAUCAUUACCGAGCGGAACGUGCCCCGGCCUUCGGGCCCGGGCUCAGUACCUCACCACCCGUGUCUACCUUAAACCGUUGCUUCGGCGGGCCCGCCGGCCCAGCCGGCCGCCGGGGGACCCCUGCGUCCCCGGGCCAGUGCCCGCCGGAGACACCCCCAAGAACACUUGCCUGAAGGUUUGCUGUCUGAGCGGUAAAAAAGAAUAUCGUAAACAAAACUUUCAACAACGGAUCUCUUGGUUCCG